AUACUAAAAGCAAAGCUGAAAUCCAAAACUCUAAGUCCGAGUGAGUAUUCGAGUAUCUCCAAAUUAUGUAAAAAUAUGAACCACGUUUACUUUUCUCGAUAUUUCUCAAUACUCAGGAAAUUUAAACAAAGGAACAUCAGCAAAAGCAAACCGACAAAUUAAGAUUAAAAAUCACAAAGCACCAUACAGUCGACUCAAGUUUAUCCAGCGUCUCAUAAACGUCAGCUAUGCUUUCUCAGUUUCCUGGGUUACCGUGAUAGACCCAUGGUCAUCUCGUUGCUGUUACGACAAGGAAAUUAUUCAGUAACUGUCGAUUUCUUUAUGGAAACACGGAGAGAGCGUGUUGAGUUUCAUGACAAGGGAAUCAGAAAAUUUUGAUGGAAUUUUCUAUAAAAAUGAGGAUGAAGAAUAAUUGAAUGCCACUUACAGGUGAAUGUUUUAAGCAUACAUUUGUCGUUAUGGGAUUAGGAAUUUUAUUUUUCAAAAUAUUAAGAAAUACUUGGAUCUACAAGUUGUUUCAAUAAUAUGAGACUCGCAAAGGUUUGUAAUUAGUUUUUCUGCUCCAAAUUGUAGGAGAUAAUUGCAUAAUUGUUUCGGGAUUGUAUAAGCCACAGAAUGUUUAAUUAACUUUAUAUUUCGUCUUUAUCAAGCAACUUUUGAGACAACUUUUAUAAUGAUGAAAGAUAUAAUUGAUAAAAGAGCAAUACAUGCCGCAAAAUAAGAUUUAAAGAUGACAAAAGCAUAUUGACACUCUGUUAUCGUAUAAGACGUACUGCAGGAAGCAAAUGGAAAUCACCAUGGUGCCAGUAUUAAAAGAUGUCUAUACUUACUGACGUCAUUUCACAUACCUGAAUACCAAUUAAAGGUACAUAGAUUGCAUUAUUAUUUAGUGGUACGUCGAUCUUUUACCAACUCGAUUAAUAACAAUC
RNAcentral lists this unclassified non-coding RNA (929 nucleotides) under Bombus terrestris (buff-tailed bumblebee). RNAcentral describes it as "misc RNA ENSBTSG00005020730.1". Lineage: Eukaryota; Metazoa; Arthropoda; Insecta; Hymenoptera; Apidae. The record is from RNAcentral.